UCCCGCUGCGGGGCUCCCGGGCACCCGGGGCCCCUUGCCUGGGCAGCGCGGCGCGGCUGCGGGGCUCCGGCUCGCUCUCCGCUUUCCCUCCCGGUGGGACGGGGCGGAGCUGGACGAGGACGAGGGGGGCGGUGACGGAGGAGGCAGCCACGGCCCGGGUCGGAUCUCUCCUCCUCCUCCUUCAGUCGGUUUCAGCCGCCAUCUUCCCUCCCGUCACCGGCCCCUCGCCGCUGCCCGGCCCGGCCCGGCCUGACCCGAGCGGCAGCACCGCGGGGCGGAGGCGCUGGGGAAGCCGAGGGCCCGCCGCCCCCCGGGAAGGGUCACCUUCCGCAACAAGGCUUCACAGAAGACUCAUCACGUUCAUCUUGUGUUGGUGGUGUUCUCCACCUAGGCAUCAAAAAGACUGAAAUGUGCCUUGGAUCAGCUUGGAACACCGGAACAAAGUUUAGUAAGCAGUAUGGGAUGAUAGAUGGUCCCACGCAGACCUCAACCCGUCGUUUGGUCUCUUUACUGUCAUUUCUGGCUAUUUCCACGCAAAGCCGCUGCACAUGGAUAGACCACAAUUGUUCUGUCAACUAUUUUAUCACAUUCAAGCCGCAUCUGGUUACAUUAUUCAUCCUCUGUGUGGAUCUGUGAAAUCCCCAAACACCUCACGUCUCAUGAGGCAAAACAACUCAAUGGGUUUAACAGCUAAAAUAGACCAGAGCUUCAGGUGGCUCAUUUUCCUCCAUAAGGGCUCUUUAUUCCUCAGGCUUGAGAGUGCCUAUGUUACAACAAAACAAGUUGGCCUCAAAAGGCCCAGUCAAACACACAGCAUUGCAAAUCCACCCAGUGCUGUCACCCACAUUGUCCUCUGAUCUCAAUUUUUGUCUUCCUUGGAAAUCUGCACCUUUGUUCGGGUCUGCACAGCUACCUUUGAGGUUCUCUGCUUCCCAGAAAAAGCCCACGCAAGCUGUAUUUCAUAACUGGCUCCUUAUCUCUGGAGCACCUGUGAAGGGAAUGGGCAGGAUAAGCCUGAGUUAACCCUUCGGCAGGUAAAGAGCUAGGGAAUAUUGAUUGCAGGCUUAUUAGUUAUUUUGGGAUCUGUAAGACUUUUCUUGGACUAUUUUAUAUCAGUUGCAGCCGGGUUAACUGUGUGUGCAUAUUAUAUAAAAUGUUGUAUGUUGUGUCCAUCUUCAACUACACAAAUAGUAAACUUUUUUUUCAGUGUUUCAGGCCCAUGUGCGUGAGCAAAAGCAUCAGAAUGAGUGGGGAGGAGGUGAAGGUGCAAGACAGAGAUCAGUGACCUGGGAUCAUGCACCCACAACCAAUCUGCUGCUGCAAAACUCACACUGUCCACAAGCAGCGAGGGAAGGAAGCUGUGUAAAAGUCCCAGCGUCUUCCUGAGCUGCCAGCUCUCCACUGCCUCUGCAGGUUUAUGUACACUUUGGUUUUAUUCAGGCAAAAAACGCUCAGCCUUCACGACCAGAGCUUAAUGUUAGAAUAUUCCCCUCCAUGAAAUCCUCACGAGAAAGUAAUAUAGGAGCUAAUCUCAGGCAGUAGGGAUAUUGUAAGUUUUCACUGAUAUUAGCACUGAGAAGUAUAAGACCAUUUUUAUUACUUAAUCUGCAAGUUAAUUUUUAAAUGGAAUGCAGGUAUAAACAAUGCCGGGUUUAAGCACAUUACAGAGCUGUCAGGCUUUGACAAUUUAAAUGAAUGAGACUUCAAAAUGUAUUAUAGAAAAGAUUAAAUGCCUCCUCAAAAUACACACAAAAUAAAAAUGAAAUCCAUCAGCAAAAUUAAAUUACUUCAAAACUUACUACAAUUAAGUCUAAAACAAAGGCCUCUCCUACCAGGUAAGUGAUUUCGUGGUGGGUGAGACUUUAUCUGAAAGCAGCUUUAAUUUCCAGCUGACUUCAGAUGACAAAUAAUUUGCUAUUGUUAGAUCUUUUCUAGCCUGAGUACUUUGUAAAACAAGAUGAUACGAUUAACUUCAUUUUACAUAUACAAAGCAGUGUUUAAGAGGUUUAAGCAGAGGUCAAGCAACGUGUAAUGGAAUCACCAACCAAAACAGUGCCAGGGUCUCCUCUUUGUCCUGUUUCCUGCCAUAAGCCCUCUGUGUGACGCUGUCACUUGUAGCCCAUUUUUUCCUUACAACUUAUUUGGGCUAAAAGCCAUUUUCAAGCUUUAGUUCAGAUUAUGAAGUGGCCAAUUUUGAGUUUCUUGUAAACCACAAGGUAGCCAGAGUACAGUCAUUAAUAUAAGAAGGCAAAAUUAAUAAUAUGCAACUUUAAAAUUUCUUGGCCAAACUCAGCAUUGUAGUAAGUAAUAAAUAAUUUAUUUGAUGAUUGUAUUGCCUCCACUUAGUAUGAGGAUAGUUCUUUAGAGCUGAAUAUGGGCUUGAGUCUGUUUCAGGCUGAGCUUCUCUGUCAAUACCAACUUACUUACCCCCUAAAAAUGUAAUAGGAAAGUUCAGAUUGGUCUAAAUGGAGGGUUGAAUAGGAAUGCCAGGAGAGGGAACACCGGGAGGAGCAAAUGGUAGGAGAAGGGUACAAGAAUGGCAUUUGGUGAUGGCAUCUGGACUAGCAGGUUACCAGGACUGCAGCAUGCAUCUGCCUGCAUGGAGCCUGUCUACCUGUGAGAGCCAGAGGAAGGUCUUUCCAGAGGGUGAAUCAUCACUGUCAGCUCCAAUAGCUGAAAGGCCGCACAUGGAAGAAUUGAGACCCGAGGAUGAACAUCACUUGGCUUUCAGCUCAUCCUGAGGUGAAACAGAGCGAUGGACACAAGCACUUCAGCAUCUGAGGGUCCUACCUGGACACUGUGUGGUGCUUCAAGCAUGUAUGAUUCUGUGCUCAAAA
This is a long non-coding RNA of Melopsittacus undulatus (budgerigar), 2837 nucleotides long. RefSeq lists it as uncharacterized. Lineage: Eukaryota; Metazoa; Chordata; Aves; Psittaciformes; Psittaculidae. The record is from RefSeq and is a predicted model, not a curated record. The transcript has 3 exons.